UCCUCACAAGCUAAAACAGGUUUUGAGUGUCUCUUCUUCUGUUCACAGUGGAUGAUGGUACCGGUGUGAUAAACUGCCUAUGUUGGAAAAAUGACUUGUUCAAAGAAGAGGAAAAUUCUUUGAAAUCAGGGGUAAAACCCAGUGACGGGGGCUUUAACCCGGUGAGUGAGCUGAAGAAGCUGAGGCAGGCGCAGCAGAGCCGCUGCCGGCUGGAGAUCGGAGAGCUGCUCCGGGUCAGAGGACCGGUGAAGACGUCCAGACAACAGAGAGAAAUCAUGGCCAACUGCUUCUAUAAAGUGAACGACCCAGUGAUGGCGGUCCAGAUAGCGUGGAUAAUGGAGGUUCCUCAGCUCUACAGGCAGUGUUAUGACAAACCACUUCAGCUGCAACCUACAGC
Notothenia coriiceps (black rockcod) is the source of this 397-nucleotide long non-coding RNA. RefSeq lists it as uncharacterized. The record is from RefSeq and is a predicted model, not a curated record. Lineage: Eukaryota; Metazoa; Chordata; Actinopteri; Perciformes; Nototheniidae. The transcript has 3 exons.